GAUGAAGAACGUAGCGAAAUGCGAUACUUGGUGUGAAUUGCAGAAUCCCGUGAACCAUCGAGUCUUUGAACGCAAGUUGCGCCCGAAGCCAUUAGGCCGAGGGCACGCCUGCCUGGGCGUCACACGUCGUUGCCCCCCCAUCUACUCCUUCGGGAUUGCGGGGGGCGGAUGAUGGCCUCUCGUGCGCCUCGUCGCGCGGUUGGCCUAAAUGCCAAGUCCUCGGUGACGCACGCCACGACAAUCGGUGGUUGCGAAACCUCGGUUGCCUGUCGUGUGCGGUCGUCGCGCAUCGAGGGCUCGAAAAAAUUGCCGGGCUUCGGCUCGACUUUCAACGCGACCCCAGGUCAGGCGGGGUUACCCGCUGAAUUUAAGCAUAUCAAUAAGCGGAGGA
Molecule: unclassified non-coding RNA, 391 nt
Filed under: soil metagenome
Description: partial contains 5.8S ribosomal RNA, internal transcribed spacer 2, and large subunit ribosomal RNA
Rfam family: 5.8S ribosomal RNA (bases 1-122)
Source: RNAcentral